Molecule: unclassified non-coding RNA, 3666 nt
Filed under: Stylophora pistillata
Lineage: Eukaryota; Metazoa; Cnidaria; Anthozoa; Scleractinia; Pocilloporidae
Description: myosin-3-like, transcript variant X2
Source: RNAcentral
CUUCACUCGCCGACUGACAUCAGUACAUCAAACAUUUUAAAGUUAGCAUCGUUCUUCGUUUGAAGAAGACGAACGAUGAGUGACGAUCAUUUGCGACAGAUUGAAAAUCGUGGUCGAACUGCCACGGCCAUCUUUGGUUUGGUUCAUGAGACUUCACAAUUUGAGCGAGAAAGAAUCAACGAAUUCAUCAUUAAUCAGCACGGUGGUGAGAUCGAUUCUUUGAAGGAAAAAAUCGAAGAGAAGAAUGAAGAGAUAUUGCAUCUUCACAAAGCAAUUAAAGACCUCGAAGAUAAAAACAAGAAAUUGGACAUCGCUUUGAAAACUCGAAACGAAGAAGUUGCGAAACUCAAGACAAGGAUUGCCAAGCUGGAAGCUGAGAAAAAAGGCCUGGAAGACAAGUUGAGGAACGUCGAAGGAAAGCUCGACCGCAUGGAAAAGGAAGUCGAGGACUUGGAUAAGGCGAAGCAGGUCCAAGAGGAAGAAAAUGUAAAUCUUAAAGAGAGUUUGGCGAUUGUGUCUGGGGAAGUGGAAAGUGUGAAGCAAGAGCUGGUGUCGACCAGAAAUGAAAACCAAAGUUUGAAGAAAGAGGUAAGAGACCUUAGUCAAAAGCUAUUGCCAACCGGUCUCGGAUUACCGAUGCUGACUCCUCCGCCACCAAUCGCUCCUGAUCUACAAGCUUCUCUACGUCUGGGUGAGUUGAGCCGUCAGCUGCAAGCUAAGAUGUACAAGUACGUCUUUCCACAGAUGUACACCCCCAUUGGUGGAUACAAGGUGAAGACCAUUCGUCGUGACCUGAAUAAGUUUUCGACUGAAGAAGAGCAAGUAAAAGCAAACCAGCGGUGGAAUGAGUUACAAAAGAAACUGAAUUGGAACGAAACGUACGAGGAAGCGAUAAAACUACUGCAGGAAAACAGGAAUGCUGAUGCGCAUCCCAAAAUAACGGGUAAAUUACUUCAUGAAGCGGUGGAAGUCAUGGAUUCGAAAGGUAACCUGAGAGGUCGGCUCACACGGGAAUGCCUUGAUGUCUUAAUAAGUAUGUGGGAGAAAAUUUAGCCCCUGGAGCAGCUUCAUCCCUUACCGUUUCAGGUUUUUUUUUUCUAAUAAGUCAAACCUCUGGUGUUAAAUACGGGUACUAUAAAUUCUACUGAGCUCGAGACACCCGUUGAAGUUAAGCAGGGAUUAUUUUGUUCUCGUUUUCUCUAUGACUAUAAGAAUAUUGGCCGUUGUUGAAGCAAACUGUGGUGAUUCACUUUCUUCAGGAACCAGAAAGAAAAAAUCACACCUAGUUGUCUAUUUUGGGGUAGAAAUUUCCUGAAUUGCAUAAGUGAAUUUCUUUAUCGUCCAGACACUGCCGGAUUUAAUGGCUCUCAUCUCUCAGAGGAUGCUGGACUUGGCGCUGCCACGAAAUUAACCGUCAGAACUCUAUCCGAACAUUUCAACAACCUUGGCGCAUUUUCAGUUAACAAGAAUGAGAAUUAACCUCGGCAUUUAAGUAUUUCUAGAAUUUCCCACAUUUCUUUAAGUAAAUUAGCACCGUUAGCUAACGAUGCUAGCGAAUUCAGUGUACACUAUGCGACCCUAUUCGAUAGGUGAGUUAAAUUUAUAAAGGCGAAUUCGAAGAGGAAAUCUUUUAAAACAAAACGCAUAUUUGCCAACUAAGAAAAUUAUGCUUAUUUGCUUUCGAUACUACAUGUAGCAGGCGAGUAAAAUGCGAGUAGGUAAUGUUUUCAACCCGCUUACGUUAUCUUAGAAAUUCCCUUUGACAUCAUAAUCCCUAAUUAUUUGAGGAAAAUGACUUUGAUAACUCGCAAAUUUGUGUUUCUUAACUUAGCUUGCUUCGUUUUCUUAACGAAUCUCAACUAGAUGAAUUGAAUUGAAUUGAUUUGAAUUGAAGAUGAUUACAAGAUCACUUCGUCAAAUUAAGUGAGUUUUGCAUCAUACAAACGACUGAUUCACGAACAGUUGUUUCUGUUUGAUUGCCUUUUGUUUCGGAGUCAAAUGAGUUUAAAUCCUCCCUCAUAAUCGUAAUCUCCCGUUAACAAAGUAAAAGGAAUUUUGAGACUUAAAGCUUUUCUCUGCGACCCGUUAUGGGAGCGUUUUAGGGCUUUUUAGGGCUUUGAAACUUAUGUAUUUCACCACAGACCAUGCAAGAAAACAAGUAGACGUUUUCCUAGAAAUUCCCACUCGACGAUAGGCUAAUUUGGUGGGCAAGGUUUCCUAGAAAUUACCUUCACCGACAAGUGCAUUUAUAAUUCAUAUAAAUCCUACAGGUUGUCUAAGAUGCGUUGUUCCCCUGCACUCCAUUAACCUUUUCUACUAAUGACCAGUGAUUUUAGGUUGGUAGGACCGACGACAAGCGUUCGCAUGAAAAUAUCCAUCAAAUUUUGUACAUAGAGGGAAAAAAGAGUAAAUCCUGUAGCUGCUGUAACAAUCGCACUUGAAGGGUUACGACUCAGCUGAGUUUGAAAACAAAGUCUCGCCUCUCUCUUGUUACGUGUAAACUUUCCCCCUUUUUAUACGAAUGGAAUAGGAAUGUUAUGACAGCAAAUCGUCCGAACGAGCUCAUUUCGUGUCCUAUCACUUAAAACAUUUCAUUUUCACAAACAAAGUAUUGCUAAUACUCAUAGGGAUGAUCAACCGCUCUGAAUUGCGAUAUGGCAUCACAGUUUUUUUCCCCUCUGUUAUUUAUUUUCAAUUCAUGCCGAAAAGGCCAAUUAUCUACAUUAUCUUCGAAGUGUGUGAAGGAAGAAUUUCAAGGUGACACAUGAUAUUUCUUAGAAAUAAUGAACAGGAAGUCACUAGCCCAAUUCUCGGAAACUUCUCUUACUCGCCCACGCUUGCAUCACGAGGUGACCUUGGCUAUGAUUGGCUCACACCCCAGCACGCCAUGGAAACACCAUGCUUCGUUUAGAAAAAAAAAAAUAAACAUGUAAGGAAGGCACUGAUUAACUGCGGAUGACUACGGGAAAAGGAAGAAAAAUCACAAAAGAAAAUUAAGGAAAAAAACCUAAAAAAAAAUUAAGAAGUCUCGAACUCUCAACAGAAGAGACGUCUGACCCUAACGGCCUGGUACUGAGUCUCUGCUCAAUAUAAUGCCUCAAAUCAUGUCGAAAACCAGCCAAGAUGUAAUGCUGUACUAACGCCGAAAAAUUAUAGCAUAAAUUACAAGCGAACACAUGUUGGUUUGUGUUUCCCAAAAAGUGUCAAAAAUGUGAGUUCUGAGGUUGAUGCCAUAAAAUCCAAUUUGAAGAAGUUUCCAAAUUUCGGCACCAGGCUGGAACACCAUUCAGACGAAUUUCUUUGAACUUCGUAAUGUUUAUUGCGAUUUAACUGUGUGUAAAUCGUUAAUUUAAAAUGUAAGCCCAGUUGUGAGAUAAAGAGAGAUAUUCGUUUGCAGAAACAAAGACAGAAACCUCCAGAUCCAUGGGUGAUGCACCAGUUUUACGUAAAGUUUUCUGAUUUCGCUGUUUGAAUUUUCAAUAAAUUUCUGCCGAAUCAGCACUAUCAUCGCGAUGAGGGACCUAAGCUAUAGAGUCAUUUAAUGACACAAAUUUUUAGGAAGCUCUUUCAACACUAACAGGCAAUUCAGCGACACGAAACCUUCCUUUGACUGGAGAGUCAUGUUAAUUGCAACGUUACAAAAGUCAAAUAAAAUCCUGACGCAGA